RNAcentral lists this transfer RNA (71 nucleotides) under Mesocricetus auratus (golden hamster). It matches the Rfam family "tRNA". From Rfam's summary of the family: Transfer RNA (tRNA) molecules are approximately 80 nucleotides in length. Their secondary structure includes four short double-helical elements and three loops (D, anti-codon, and T loops). Further hydrogen bonds mediate the characteristic L-shaped molecular structure. tRNAs have two regions of fundamental functional importance: the anti-codon, which is responsible for specific mRNA codon recognition, and the 3' end, to which the tRNAs corresponding amino acid is attached (by aminoacyl-tRNA synthetases). tRNAs cope with the degeneracy of the genetic code in two manners: having more than one tRNA (with a specific anti-codon) for a particular amino acid; and 'wobble' base-pairing, i.e. permitting non-standard base-pairing at the 3rd anti-codon position. Lineage: Eukaryota; Metazoa; Chordata; Mammalia; Rodentia; Cricetidae. The record is from Rfam by way of RNAcentral.
GGAGAGGUGGCUCAGCUGUUAAGAGCACUAGCUGCUUUUCUGGUGGACCUGGGUUCAAUUCCCAGUAUCCA